GCUGACGGCAAUGAAGGGGAGGGACUUUAAAGGGGACCGUCAGAGGAGUUCUCAGUGCGCUGGGUCCCACAUCUCCUCCUGGGGGCCUGGGAGCCCGCUCCUCAUCUCCAGGCUUUGGGAGAAGGACUUUCAUGGGGCAGCUUAGAGAGCUCACUCUGUCUCCCCUGCAGUAAAUGGCACUUGGGGACUGCUGCCCCCUUCCCACUGCGGGAGCAAAGGCAAGGUGGCUGCACUUCCAGAGCUCUCCUGGACAAAGGACACCAUAAAAUGGGGCACGUGCCAGGGCUGCUGUGGGACUUUGUCAGAUCCUGUCUGCAGGGCAGCCUGGAGAGGAGAAGCGGAAGGUCCUUCAGCGCUGCAGAGCAGUAACAACCAGCCCGAGUGAGCUGCAGUUGAGAAGCCCCUAGUGAUGGAGAUCAUUGAAGAUUAAGAAAAUGUCUGGAGGAGAGAAGAGUCAGCUGUACACGUCAGUGAGGCCCAGAAAGCAGGGAACCAACCAAAGGAGGGUCCAGAGACUGUGCUUCUGGCAUGACCUUAGGACCGAGGCAUGAGGAGACGGGAAGGCACAGCCUCAGCACACAGCUGCCCAGGGAUCGCCAAGGUCCUGACCCCACACCCGUCUCUGGACCAGAGUCCGGACCCCUGACCCGAUCCCACACCCCGCACCCCACUCUGGGCGAUCACCCAGGCUCACCCACUGCGCUGAGCCAUGCUGAGCCCCAGCAAUUGUGAACUUCUGAUCCUGGGGCGAUCUCUUCUGGCUCCCAAGGUAUGAAAAGCAAGCCAAUUAGCUACGGGAUGGAAAACAGGUUUUUCUGCCAGAGAGAGUUAUUUCCAGUAGAUUCAUAUGUGGCUUGCUCGUGCUUCUGCUCCUCUCUCUAAUCAGCUGGGUUCUGCUGCAGAGGCACUGGCCAAGUAUUAUUUGAAUGGAUGUGACAUUAACAUUUCCCCAUGUCAAUAAAAAUGCUCCAAAAGCAGUAUUUUUCGUAGGUGCAAAAUAUUACAUUGUCUGAUUAUAUCAUAAUUGACCUAACCAUUUCC
RNAcentral lists this long non-coding RNA (1041 nucleotides) under Equus asinus (donkey). Its description in RNAcentral is "lncRNA (ENSEASG00005037171.1)". The record is from RNAcentral. Lineage: Eukaryota; Metazoa; Chordata; Mammalia; Perissodactyla; Equidae.